GUGAGUCAUCGAAUCUUUGAACGCAUAUUGCACUGUUUGGCCCUCCAAACAGUAUGCCUGUUUGAGUAUCAUAAACACCCUACCAGCAGCUAUUGCGCGCUGGUGACGUGGGCGACAAGAGCGCAAGCCCUUCCGCCUUAAAUGCAGCGAUGAAUAAUGGCACUCUCGUCCGAGUGUGAAUCUCUUUGCGACAAGUGCGCUUUGCCUUGACAACAGAGUGGGUUCCACUGUAUGAGCGAGUGUGUCAUGUCGACGUUACGUGCGCUUCGGUGCACAUACAUAUACAGUAAUGAUCUCAAA
RNAcentral lists this unclassified non-coding RNA (300 nucleotides) under uncultured fungus. RNAcentral's name for it is "sequence contains 5.8S rRNA gene, ITS2". The stretch from base 1 to 71 matches the Rfam family "5.8S ribosomal RNA", at positions 84 to 154 of the family's 154-position model. The record is from RNAcentral. Lineage: Eukaryota; Fungi.